GACGAACGCUGGCGGCGUGCUUAAUACAUGCAAGUCGUGCGGUAAGACCCUUUCCUUGGUCCACGAGUGGCGCACGGGGGAGUAACAGUUACAUGACCUUCACACAACUUUGAGACAACGCUAACAAACUGGUGCUAAUACUGGAAAUGUGCUCUUUCUUCAUGGGGGGGGUUGAAAAGCUCCAGCGGGUGUUGAUGGACCCGCGCCCUAUCUGCUCGUUGGUGUGGUAACGGCUUAACGUGGCGGCGUUGCGUAGCCGAGCUGCGAGGGUGACCGGGCACACAGGGACUGAGACACGGUCCAGGGACCGACAGGAGGCAGCAGUAGGGAAUCGUGCGAGCAGGGCGGAAGCCUGACGGAGCGGCGCCGCGUGGAUGAUGAAGCUCUUCGGGUCGGAUGACGCUCUUAGUGGGGAAAAACGAAUGCAGAAGUAACGAAGCUCUUCGUGACGGUACCUAAAGAGGAAGCAACGGCUAACUACGUG
Molecule: ribosomal RNA, 484 nt
Filed under: uncultured bacterium
Lineage: Bacteria
Description: partial 16S ribosomal RNA
Rfam family: Bacterial small subunit ribosomal RNA
Source: RNAcentral